Molecule: ribosomal RNA, 449 nt
Filed under: Merluccius productus (North Pacific hake)
Lineage: Eukaryota; Metazoa; Chordata; Actinopteri; Gadiformes; Merlucciidae
Description: partial 16S ribosomal RNA
Rfam family: Bacterial large subunit ribosomal RNA
Source: RNAcentral
AAUCACUUGUCUUUUAAAUGAAGACCUGUAUGAAUGGCAUCACGAGGGCUUAACUGUCUCCCCUCUCCAGUCAAUGAAAUUGACCUCCCCGUGCAGAGGCGGGGAUAUUUAUAUAAGACGAGAAGACCCUGUGGAGCUUUAGACCUAAAGUAAAUCACGUUUAAUGUACUAAAAUUAAUAGCAAAAACUUAGUGGACAUUUAUUUAAGUGUCUUUGGUUGGGGCGACCGCGGAGUAAAACAUAACCUCCAUGUGGACGGGGAUACUUUCCCUGAAACUCAGAGCCUCCACUCCAAGCAACAGAAAUUCUGACCUUACUGAUCCGGUACAACCGAUUAACGAACCCAGUUACCCCAGGGAUAACAGCGCAAUCCCCUCUCAGAGCUCAUAUCGACGAGGGGGUUUACGACCUCGAUGUUGGAUCAGGACAUCCUAGUGGUGCAGCCGCUA